AAACUGAGUGUCCAUCAUCAAGGUUGGAACCUAUACAAAGGGAUAAACCACAGUCAUAUUUCAAGUGGAACAGCAGAAAUCAGAUGUCCCUCCUUCAUGCUUUUGAAGUGACGCCAUAACGAAACAGAGCUUUUACAACGCCCUCUGUUCUUUAAAUCCUGUUGUAUCCAUGCACACUCACACCUCUCCCAUUCUAGCAAAACCGUCUCCCCCCAGAUCAUGCCUGCCUGCCUCCUGAGCAGGAACCUGUGACGAUUCAGUUCCCAGCCUGCUGUAGAAGGCAGUCACAUCCCCACCUGAAUGUUUUCUACCUGCUCUGAAGUGGGUGCUGGCUCACAUACCCAAAGGUGGAAUUUUGUAUGGAAAAAGAAAGGCAAAAGACCCAGGUAAUUAUACAAAAGUCUAGAAAAUAGGGAACACUGAAUAGACUUCAAUAACUGUAAUUAUUUGCAUUAUAUAGCUGCAUUGGCAUGCCAAGAACAUGCUUGCAGAUGGCCUUGCACAGACCAAACCAAACACUGACCUGCAGUUGAGCAAAGCUCUUCCUCACCUUUUGCCCACUGUUUUUAUGUGAACAUACCUUUCUGUGGCAGGAUACAUUACAUAACUGCCCUUAGAAUAGAUCUGGUGGUUUGUUUUUUUUUAAAUGGGUUUGAAAAAAUCUAAAUGUAAAAUUGAUGAGCCAUAGUCCACUACAAAUAAGACACUCCAGGGUGUGCAUUAUUCAGCUACUGUUGCACUUCUCAAAAGAUGAGCUUAAUGCACACCCUGUUGUGACUUAUUACUAUAUGCAGCGUGCAGAAUUAGACCAAAAUGCUCUUACAUCCGAAGCACGCAGUGUGUUUCCAUUUGCAGCAGAGGCAGCUCUCUUUGUUGUGUGUUAAUCAUUACUCAAGCAUACUGUACUCCGUGUGCCCACCGCUCCUGCCCUGGCAGUUGGCAUCCUGCUGCUCAGGGGGUGAUUGCUGGGUUUGGUGAACAGUAGGCCCAUUUCCCGUCGCAAAUGUCAGAGGUGUUUCAGAGAAGCUAUUGUCAAAGAGUGCUAAUGAUAGGAAACAUGAGUCAGCCUGUGAAAAUCCAGGAGUAAAGAGGCGAUAAAGUAGCAGGAAGUAACCUGCUAGAAAUCCUUCUGUAGGCUGUGCCUGAGCCUGGUUACGAGAGAGUGAAGCUCUAACCUCUGAAUCUGAGUUCCAUGGGAGUUAAGUGCCUCUCCAGCGCUAAAGAGCUAAAGGCUCCUGGGCUGUAGCUGGUUGAUAAACCUCUCCAUAACCCAGACGUGACAGCAGGCAGUUGACAACACACAGCGCUCCCCCAAAGGUCAGCCCCACACUGAGGUACAGGGUUAUUUGCUGGACCGGGGCUCAUUGGGUGGCUGGAGGUAUUUUUGGGAAUCCUACAGGUUUGUUACCCUGGAUGUGGCACAUGAGGAGUUAAAUCUCCGGCAGCCAACAGACACACAGGUGUAAAGAGGAUUCGCUAAGGAGGCUGGUCCCUACAGAGGCUGCCGGGGGGGAGCCUACAAAUACAGCUCAUGGGAAGAAAAGAGAGUGGUGAUGAGGGUCUGCUGUGGGUCAUGGAGGGCUUGGUGUUUCUUAGCAAGGUUGGGUAAACGUAUUUCAAGUAACAAACAGCCAAAAGCAGCUCCCUUUGUGAGGUUUUUGACAUUCUUCUGCUUUGUUUGGCUUGUUUAGGUGCUUUGUUAAAUGUCAAGAGAAAGGUGGAACUGCCCCAUUUUCAAGCCAUCUCCAUUCUACAGACUAGCACCUCACCUGGACCAGUGUAAUGAACUAGGAGUCCAGAGAGAAGCCUUCAGAAGGAAAGGAUUUUGUAAAUAUGCAUUUAAAUGGCCUGUGGCAGCUUGUUCCAGACAGAGCACUUUCUCCUCUAAGCCACUCUCCCUUUCUGAUGCGAGAGGAGGAAAUAAGACGAGGCACUUGAGGAUGAAAUGAAGAAAGAGCACAAUCAGUGUGGAGUUUAUUCUCCAAGUCACAGAGGCGUGCUGUUAAAGACCUGGUUUGUGUUUGAACCUCUUCUAUUUAAAUGAAGUGCAGUCUUGAGGUCUGCUUUGCCUUGAAUUCCUGUGUCUUGCUCUUGCUACUGAACCCAGUCGGAAGAGGGACUGGUGAGCGCCUACCGUUGUCUAGAGAAGCAAGACCAGUGUUGUGCCAUGAGCAAUUGCACCCUCUCCUGGUUAUGACUCUGCGAGAGCAGUUGAGAAGCUCAUAGUAGUGACAACUUACAUGUUAUGUUGUGUUAUCUCUAUGAUAUGACCAACCAUCAAAUGAAUCUUGGUUUUUAUAUGCUUAUGUAGCCUGGGGCCAGCUUCACUUGUGCAGUAAAACAAACAAGGGACAGAAGUUUGGGACUGUUACAAAUCCAGGCACUACAUGGUGUAAGUGACAUCAGAACCUGGCUCACAGCACGUUAUGGAUCUACCAGAGCCUUGUACAGAGAUUCCCUGGCUGCUUGCUGGACCUGUUUCCUGAGACCCCCUGAUGCCAUCUCACUGUAAGUCCAGUGUUGCUGACAUGAGAGUAAAUCUAGUUGUCUUGUGCGGCUUGGACAGGUAAGACUAGUUCACGCAUGCCUGCAGCUGGGUUGGGUUUAUUUUGUUUCCUCAUUUGGAAAUAUAAAAUGCUGUUUGGUCAUUUUUUCACCUUCAGAUCAUUUUAAGAAUUACUCUGUAACAGGAGCAGCUGCUUUGAGUAAAAAUAAAAACUACAUCCUAAACAUUUUUAAUAUUUUUAAGUUUGGAAACGAAUUUUAAGAGCUUACUUAAGCCAGUCCAGUCCAUAACUACAUUUAAGGCCUUGGAAUGUCAUCCAGGUUUUUAAUUUUAUCUGGCUUCUCUAUUUUCUCUUCUUAAUGGUAACAAGGACAAGAUGUGCUAAUACAGGCUAAUAAUCAUGCUAUCUAUAGCCGCCUAUGUCAUCUUUGUACAUAAAAUGUCCCUAUUUCCUGUUAUUUAUUACUGUGUAUGGAUGAGAGAUGUUUCAUUAAGUUUAGGUGAGGUAAUAUGUUGCUAAAAGGGCUUGAAAAGGCAGGGCUUUUUGCUUGGGAGAAGUGGGGUUGUGUUCCUAUUCAACCACAUGCCUUUAAAAAAAGAAUGAGAUUAAAUUGUAAGACAACAUCACAGGGAGGAGCGAGUGGCUGCAUCUGGUGCCAGCCCAGCGCUGUUUGAUGCUGCACAAACACAUCUUGAUGCUCACAAACCAGGAGGCUGCAUUUCUCCCCAUUCUGACUAUUGAGCUGUGCUUUUGGCAUUCUGGUACUAACCAAGAAGACACUGUGGCUUCCGAAAAGAUCCCUGAAUUUGUGAUAGCAGAGAAAUGACAAUCUAGACAGAUGGCAGGGUCUCGCAUGAGAACAAAAUCUGCGUGGUUGUGAUCUUCCUUUAUUAUUACCACUCAGGCAGUGACUGUUUCUUAUUUCUGAUGCUAACACACCCCCACUGCAACCAAAAGACUGUCCAUCACAGGGAUAAACAAGCCAUAAAGGUGUCAUUCUGUUUUGCAAACCCAAGCACAGCUCUAUUCAACAGCCAGAUGAGGACUAGGGGACUUCUACUAAACCAUUCUGCAAUUCUUUAUGGAUCCCAGAGCUUUGUUUGGAGGAUCCUGUAAUGCAUGUUUAAUUUCCCCAUUAAAAGAAGCUUCCCUUGGAAAAUAGGUUGCGACUAUUGCACCAGGUAGACUCUCCUGCAUAUUUGUAUCAGUGAAUCUAGAUAGCCACGUCAAAAGCCCCUCAAGGGCUUCAGAAGUCGUAUAGACCAGAGGCAAAACCAUGUGUUCUGUGAUGUAAGGGAGCAGCUAGUGCUGAAAUUCGGGCUUAUGAGCAAAGGGUGGUGAAUCAACUCAGCACAUGCAUGGAUGCUGCAUAGGUAAUGAAAUAUGGUUUUCUGAAACUUCAAACCCUCAUCAACAGAUCAAUAGAGAGUCCAAUGCAGGCAAGUGCUAAGAUCACUCUGACACACUAAUACAGAGAACUCCCUGGGAAGCACCUUGUGUAACAGUGCAUUCCCAACUUUUCAACGUGUCUAUAUGUUAAAUUAAAAGCACAACAUGCCUGUGCAUGUUGCAGUGCAGUUCUUGCCCUGACCCCAUCAGCUCUCCUAGGAGCUAAUAACAGACUUCAUAUUGGCCUAGGAGAAGGGGCCAGUGACUUCUUUGCCACUGUCAGAUGUCUGGUAGCUGGCACUGCAGCCUGCAAGCCCUAGCUCUGGUGCUACCCAUUG
This is a long non-coding RNA of Pezoporus occidentalis (night parrot), 4234 nucleotides long. RefSeq lists it as uncharacterized. The transcript is spliced from 3 exons. Lineage: Eukaryota; Metazoa; Chordata; Aves; Psittaciformes; Psittacidae. The record is from RefSeq and is a predicted model, not a curated record.